AUACGGAGGGGGCUAGCGUUGUUCGGAUUUACUGGGCGUAAAGCGCACGUAGGCGGUUUAUCAAGUUAGGCGUGAAAGCCCUGGGCUCAACCCAGGAACUGCGCUUAUUACUGAUAGACUAGAGAGCGGGAGAGGGUAGCGGAAUUCCCAGUGUAGAGGUGAAAUUCGUAGAUAGUGGGAAGAACACCAGUUGCGAAGGCGGCUACCUGGACCGGUACUGACGCUGAGGUGCGAAAGCGUGGGGAGCAAACAGGAUUAGAAACCCCAGUAGUCC
RNAcentral lists this ribosomal RNA (274 nucleotides) under uncultured bacterium. RNAcentral's name for it is "partial 16S ribosomal RNA". It matches the Rfam family "Bacterial small subunit ribosomal RNA", at positions 523 to 796 of the family's 1533-position model. The record is from RNAcentral.